Long non-coding RNA from Peromyscus eremicus (cactus mouse), 934 nucleotides. RefSeq lists it as uncharacterized. The record is from RefSeq and is a predicted model, not a curated record. The transcript has 2 exons. NCBI's taxonomy places the organism in Eukaryota, Metazoa, Chordata, Mammalia, Rodentia, Cricetidae.
CUGGGAAGUGGAAGGCUGAGGCAGAGAGACACUACCAGCUGUCACCAUGGAAAGUGAGAUGUAAGAAUGCUGGUCCUGAUGCAACCACCAUCCACCUGGGCCCUCUCCAUUAUCCCAAGAGCUAGUGAAAUGCUGUCUCUGCAUUGACGGACCACAGCAUGAGGCCUCUGCUCCCACAGGUCCCUCCUUACCAUCUCAUGAUCCAGCUGCCCUGUGGAACUGAGUCCGUUUGUAACCGGGAGACAGCCAUCCACCUGUGCUAGUACUCCCGAGGUCUUCAGAGGUUGCUUCCCAGGUGUCCCCAAUCCAGACUAUCAAGCAUGACGUCAUGCCAUCUGCCACAGUCUUCCCUGUCUAGUACAGCUCCUCUUUGCAAUGACCAGAACCCACAGGGUCGUGGAGCGAGCUUCAUUACGGCUGCUGCUGAAGGGACCAUGGUGACCACACCCAUGUUCUGGCACUAAGUACGAAGAACUUUACACACACGAAUUCACUGUGUGCUUGAACAAGUGGGAGGCAGGCACUAACUCCCCCUACAGACGAGAAAGAAUGUGAAAGUUUCACCGAGGGGGUGCCUGCCUGGAAUUUUUAUCCCAGCUAUUCUCACAUAGAACACCUGUUUUUCACUGUUGUGAUAGGAUACAUAGGAACAUCUGGAUGCCAUUCCAUCCACCAACCUGCCUUUGUUCCUUUGCCCCUGUCUGUCUAACCCCUCACCCGCCCCCCCCCCCACACACAUAGGCAAUGGGGCCUUCAAAAACAGGACCUGCUUCUUUUUUUUGUCAGGGAGAGGUUUCGAGAGAGGGUUUCUCUGUGUAGCCUUGGCUGUCCUGGAACUGGCUCUGUAGAUCAGGCUGGCCUCGAACUCACAGAGAUCCUCCUGCCUAUACCUCCUGAGUGCUGGGUAUUAAAGGCGUGCACCAUCACCACCUGG